ACGGAAGGCAGCAGUGGGGAAUAUUGCACAAUGGGGGAAACCCUGAUGCAGCGACGCCGCGUGAGUGAAGAAGUAUUUCGGUAUGUAAAGCUCUAUCAGCAGGGAAGAAAAUGACGGUACCUGACUAAGAAGCCCCGGCUAACUACGUGCCAGCAGCCGCGGUAAUACGUAGGGGGCAAGCGUUAUCCGGAUUUACUGGGUGUAAAGGGAGCGUAGGCGGCACGGCAAGCCAGAAGUGAAAACCCAGGGCUUAACUCUGGGAUUGCUUUUGGAACUGUCGAGCUAGAGUGCAGGAGAGGUAAGUGGAAUUCCUAGUGUAGCGGUGAAAUGCGUAGAUAUUAGGAGGAACACCAGUGGCGAAGGCGGCUUACUGGACUGUAAAUGACGCUGAGGCUCGAAAGCGUGGGGAGCAAACAGGAUUAGAUACCCUGGUA
Molecule: ribosomal RNA, 434 nt
Filed under: uncultured Lachnospiraceae bacterium
Lineage: Bacteria; Bacillati; Bacillota; Clostridia; Lachnospirales; Lachnospiraceae
Description: bacterial SSU rRNA
Rfam family: Bacterial small subunit ribosomal RNA
Source: RNAcentral